Molecule: transfer RNA, 89 nt
Filed under: Candidatus Aramenus sulfurataquae
Lineage: Archaea; Thermoproteati; Thermoproteota; Thermoprotei; Sulfolobales; Sulfolobaceae
Description: Sulfolobales archaeon AZ1 tRNA
Rfam family: tRNA
About the family: Transfer RNA (tRNA) molecules are approximately 80 nucleotides in length. Their secondary structure includes four short double-helical elements and three loops (D, anti-codon, and T loops). Further hydrogen bonds mediate the characteristic L-shaped molecular structure. tRNAs have two regions of fundamental functional importance: the anti-codon, which is responsible for specific mRNA codon recognition, and the 3' end, to which the tRNAs corresponding amino acid is attached (by aminoacyl-tRNA synthetases). tRNAs cope with the degeneracy of the genetic code in two manners: having more than one tRNA (with a specific anti-codon) for a particular amino acid; and 'wobble' base-pairing, i.e. permitting non-standard base-pairing at the 3rd anti-codon position.
Source: Rfam by way of RNAcentral
GCCACCGUAGCUCAGCCCGGCUAGAGCGCCGGCCUUGUAAGGUAAAGCAGGAGAGCCGGUGGUCGCGGGUUCGAAUCCCGCCGGUGGCU